Molecule: small nuclear RNA, 135 nt
Organism: Medicago truncatula (barrel medic)
Lineage: Eukaryota; Viridiplantae; Streptophyta; Magnoliopsida; Fabales; Fabaceae
Source: Rfam
GUGUUCGUGAAAAGGAGAGAUGAUUGGCAUCUCCCCUGACAGGGUUAUGGGAACUGCUUUCGAGCAUUCCUGUUACACACACCCCGGUUAAGGCUAUCCACCUCCUCGAGGUUGGAUCUAAAACCAUAUGGUUGU